RNAcentral lists this unclassified non-coding RNA (379 nucleotides) under uncultured Caryophanales bacterium. Its description in RNAcentral is "uncultured Bacillales bacterium contains 16S-23S intergenic spacer region". Lineage: Bacteria; Bacillati; Bacillota; Bacilli; Caryophanales. The record is from RNAcentral.
UCCGGUUUGUCACCGGCAGUCACCUUAGAGUGCCCAACUAAAUGCUGGCAACUAAGAUCAAGGGUUGCGCUCGUUGCGGGACUUAACCCAACAUCUCACGACACGAGCUGACGACAACCAUGCACCACCUGUCACUUUGUCCCCCGAAGGGGAAAGCUCUAUCUCUAGAGUGGUCAAAGGAUGUCAAGACCUGGUAAGGUUCUUCGCGUUGCUUCGAAUUAAACCACAUGCUCCACUGCUUGUGCGGGCCCCCGUCAAUUCCUUUGAGUUUCAACCUUGCGGUCGUACUCCCCAGGCGGAGUGCUUAAUGUGUUGGCUGCGGCGGUGAAAGUGUUGAAACUACCACCACCUAGCACUCAUCGUUUACGGCUAGGACUAC